AGUAGAAUGACUGAGAUAAAAGUUAAGUUAUAGACUGUAAAUCUAUUUAGGGGUAAUCCCCUUCUACUA
Molecule: transfer RNA, 69 nt
Filed under: Cryptocercus meridianus
Lineage: Eukaryota; Metazoa; Arthropoda; Insecta; Blattodea; Cryptocercidae
Description: tRNA-Tyr
Source: RNAcentral